Molecule: long non-coding RNA, 5165 nt
Filed under: Salmo salar (Atlantic salmon)
Lineage: Eukaryota; Metazoa; Chordata; Actinopteri; Salmoniformes; Salmonidae
Description: lncRNA (ENSSSAG00000105249.1)
Source: RNAcentral
ACCUCUUAGGCAUGCUCAGUGGAAUUACUUUUAGUCCAGGACUUGGUUUAAUCUUGUAGGACUGAGAAAUCGGCCCUCAGAGCAAAAGGGUUUAAGUCAAGUCAAGGUAUGGGGUGUUGCCUUUAGAGGAAGAUGUUCAAGGAAGAGAACAGAGAGGCAAGUGGAGCUUUGGAGGGGCGAGCAGCGUGAUUGGGUAAAAGGGUAGUUAGUCACACUGCAGUGGUUGAGAGAAGUUAGACAGGAAAGGAAGGAGGAAGGAACACUGAGGGAGAAUGUCAAUUGCUUUUCCUUGACUCAUCACGUCCUCUCUCCUCGCCUUCUCAAAACCCAUUAGGUCCCUCCCCUCUGACCUUCUCAUCCAAUGGGUUUUGAGAAGGAAGCGAGGAGAGAGGAUGCGAGGAGUCAAGAAAACGCAAUUGAGAUUCUUCCCGGAGACUAGUUUGAUUGCCAAUGUGUGAGGAAAGCAAGAAGACAAGAAGACAAGAAGACAACGGGAGGACUGAGGAAAGUACAGAGAUCAUGACAUUUAUUCAAGGCAUGCUACAAUUAAAGUUGCUUUAGGAAAAAAUUAAGAAGAGAUUCUGAUGCAAUAAUAAUAAUGAGAAUCAUUAUAAUAAUAACUAUAAUAAUCAUAGUAACCAAUCGAAAAACAUAAAAGAAAAUGUUUCUAUAUCAAAUACAGAAACUCCAUUCAACCAUGCAUGCACCACAACAUUUUAAAAUAUGUUUCUUUAAUAGUUUCAUUUUCUAUUUGCAUUUAAAUGACAUCAACUCAUAAGGAAUCCUGUUGUUUCUCACCCCACCUUCCAUCCCCACGACGUCACACACACUGUUUUACAAAUCAAACCUGGUAUGAUAUCAAAAUACACAAGUUGUUUUUUUUCAUGUUGUGUUCAUCAUCUUUAAAUAUAUAUUUUUUUAAAACAAACACAAAAAAAAACAAUUGAAGGUCCAAUGCAGCUGUUUUUUUUAUUUUUUUUUAUCUCAGUAUCAAACACUUUCUGGGUAAAAAUUAAGGACCUAACUGUGAUUCAAAUGAUCAAAAAGAAACUAAAAUAGCUUCUUAGCAAAGAGCAAUAUCUCAAGUAAGAACUUAGAUAGGACUGUCUGGGAGUGGUCUGAGUGGGGAGGGGAAAACUGAACAUUAGCUGUUAUUGGCAGAGAGGUUUGGAACUCUUUCUUAUUGGUCUAUUAACUCAUUUACCGCCUGGUGAUGUCACCAAAACAGGCUGGAAUUUUAGGCAGUCUUUUCAAACACCCCUUACACCAAAAAGGGCGUUAUUAUCAUUUUCACAAUUUCACAGUAUUAUUCCAACCUCAUAGUGUGGAAAUAUAAAACACAGGUAAAUCACGUUUUUUUGAGUGCACUGGGCCUUUAAUUUCUCUCGAUAUUGUUAUUGUUUGUAGCUUUCUUGUUCCCAUUAACCAUUUUGGCCAAGUUUGAAAAGGGAACAUGUUUGAUUACAGACUUUCUUGUUGUCUAUUUUGGUCGUGAAACAUUGAAUAUUAACUAUAAAUAAGGUAUAUUAUCAAGACGCGCCUUAACGAGACAAGAAAAACAAAUUCAAUCAGAUGAGACACUUUUCCAGUGUCCCAAAUGACACCUUAUCCUCUAUAUAGUGCACUACUUAUGUUCAGGGCCCAUAGGGCUCAGGUCAAAAAGUAGUGCACUACGUAGAGAUAAGGGUGCCGUUUUGGACGCACCCUUCUGACUGAGCUCUGUGCAACUACAUGGCUCUUUAAAAUAUAUAAUCUCUCCCUUUAAUAAUCAUGGAACUGGAAAUCUAUUUAAAUUCGUCAAUCAUUUGUCUCCCAUAUAAUUCAGUGAUAUUGAAAGGAAAAGUCACUAUUAAAGGGGGGGGGGGGGUUGCCCCGGCCAGGAAUCGAACCCUGGUCCAGUAGCCCCAGCCAGGAAUCGAAUCUAACCCUGGUCCAGUAGCCCAGGCCAGGAAUCGAACCCUGGUCCAGUAGCCCCGGCCAGGAAUCGAACCCUGGUCCAGUAGCCCCGGCCAGGAAUCGAACCCUGGUCCAGUAGCCCCGGCCAGGAAUCGAACCCUGGUCCAGUAGCCCCGGCCAGGAAUCGAACCCUGGUCCAGUGAGAGUCGCUACACUAUGAUUGGUUGUUGUAAUAGAGGAUUCAGUUCCUUUGGUUUCAGUUCAUGUGUUGUCUUCUUGUACAACUCAAAGUAAAGCUAAAGGUACAUUUGUUUAGUUUUUUUUUUGCGUUUUAUUACGUGAGUCUGUGGGAAUCAAUGGGCUAGCCUGGAAUCCAACCUGAUUUCAUUAUGUUUCAUUACGUUUCACUGUUUCAGUCUGGCUUAACCAGGCUAGGAAUGGGCUCCCUUAAUAAUAUGGAUUCCUGUCAAAAUGUUGUAAAUUAUAUUUUGACUGAAAUGUAUAUCAAUAACUUUACCCGUUUUGAGAGAGCCAAUGACCUCGUCUUCAGCAAUGACGGUCUUUAAUCUAAACAAUAGUGAUGAAUAACAGAUCAAUGAAAGGCACAUCAACUUUGGUCCUGUUUGUUUCUGUUGUUUGUGACUCUUCAGUAUAAAAACGUUUUGAUAAUGUAAAAGUAAAAUGUUAGUCACAAUUGAAAAGAAAAGUCUGUCAUCAUGGCUGAACUAUGCUGCCUGAGUUUAAGGCAUGACUGUGGACGCUUCCCAAAUGGAACCCUAUUCCCUAUACAGGGACCAUAGGGCUCUGGUCAAAAGUAGUGCACUAUAUAGGGAAUAGGGUUCCAUUUGGGAGACCUAGAACAUUCAGACAUUCUAGAACAUUCAGACAUUCUAGAAUUAUCAGCUUUCAUGAUGAUACAGAAGAUUUACAGUCAGCCCGGGCUUCUUUCCUGUUCACAAAUGAAAAUGUUUCUUUUUUUAAACAUCAUAGCUUUUAGACAUGAGAGAGUCAAUCCACAGAAGGAGGAGUAUGAUGAAGACGACGACCAAGGCAGCUCAGCGGAGACUAGCUCUGGUCCCGGGUGUUACAUGCAGCGCAGUAUCAAUAACCAGUAUGGUAGUUUAUAUGAGGUUCACGGUCUGAACCAGCCCCUCAGACACAACAGUAUUAUUGUGCCCUAUUCCCUAUACCGGGCACUACUUUUGAUGCACCCUAAAAACUUUGGGUCGAGGUCAAUGCCAAGGGGGGACUCUUGUGGUUCUGUACAAAAGUAGUGCAUUAUAUAGGGAAUAAGGUGUUAUUUCAGACACACAUUCUCAGGGCUUUCUGAAGACUCAAACACCUGUUGUUAUGAAAAGCAGAGUGACAGACAACCAGUUCACCUUUUAAAGAGAGAGAGAGAGAGAGAAAGAAAAAAAAUGCACUACAGAUAUCAGUACGGAUCAAAAACCAGGCAACCAAAAUACCGUAAAAUGAAUAAUAUGAGAAACAAGUAUAAUAAUAUUACAACUUAAAAACACACAGAUGGGAGGUUCUCUUACAGCUUCACUGAAAAAGAGCAAAAUGAAGGAAAACCUGAAGUGACCUUAGUGAGUGUUGUGGGCCUUGACAUCAGAGGAAUAACAUUUAUACACAGGGUUGGGUAGGUUACUUUAGAAAUGUAAUCUAUUACAGUUACUAGUUACCUGCCCAAAAAUUGUAAUUAGAAAAGUUACUUUUUGGAUUACCCAAAACUCAGUAAAGUAAUCAGAUUACUUUCUGUUACAUUUGGAUUAGAAGAAGACAGAAAGGAACUAUUAAACUCAUUUGGUGAUCUCUGAUUGGUGGUCAUCAUUUGGUUGUGCUUAUCAUAGUGAUCUCUGAUUGGUGGUCAUUAUUUGGUGUGUCAUCAUAGUGAUCUCUGAUUGGUGGUCAUUAUUUGGUGUGUCAUCAUAGUGAUCUCUGAUUGGUGGUCAUUAUUUGGUGUGUCAUCAUAGUGAUCUCUGAUUGGUGGUCAUUAUUUGGUGUGUCAUCAUAGUGGUCUCUGACUUGUGGUCAGACUCGGGGAUCGUGAUCGAACAAAUCCCCGAGCUGACAAGGUAAUAAUCUGUCGUUCUGUCCCUGAACAAGGCAGUUAACCCACUGUUCCCCGGUAGGCUGUCAUUGUAAAUAAGAAUUUGUUCUUAACUGACUUGCCUUGUUAAAUAAAUAAAAAUAUAUUCAAGGCAUUCCUAGUCGAUCACCAAACAUUUCUGUAAAAACACAACGAUUAAGCCUUGUGUUCCUAUUCAUGUGUCUGAAGGUACAAACUCUUCCUUCCUGGUGGACCCAGAGAGCAAAUCAAGUGGACUAUAGGUCUACCGCUGGCCAAUCAGAUGGCUCAGAUGACCGUGUCUUCAGUAAUGUAGCAGCAUAAGAGAAAGCUACAGUGGAUACUGUGAGAUGUAAAACGUUUUAAAACCACGACUAGAGAGACUGUCAACGAAUACAGCAAAGAGAUGCUGUCAACUGUCAACACUUUGUAGUGAACACUUUGUAGUCAACAUUUUGUAGUGAACACUUUGUAGUCAACAUUUUGUAGUCAACACUUUGUAGUCAACACUUUGUAGUCAACACUUUGUAGUGAACAUUUUGUAGUCAACACUCUGAUAAACCGUCAGAUGUGAGUUCUACAUGGAACACCACACAUUGGUUGCUGCUGUAGGCUGAACAGCUGUUUCCAUGUUAAGAUAUUAUGGUGAUUGUUUUUGAUGGUAGGCUACUCUGGUAGGUCCUACAUUAUGAUCUAAGAGCAACAGUAGCCUACUUGGCCGUUGUUAAAACUCUAACUCAAAGCGGUUAUAUUUCCAGUGAUCACAUUAUCGCUUGGUCAUAAUGCUUAUUUAGUUUUUUCCGCAAACAUUCUUUCUGAAUGUAAAAGUAAUCCAAGAAGUAAUCCUCUGUAAUCUGAUUACAAUAUGUUUUUGCUGGCAAAGUAACCGAUUUAAAAAAUAAAUAAAAAUGACCUCUUUUUUUUGGGGGGACCUCAUCAGAUUUGCUAAGCAGGAGACUAAAAUGUUUGUUUUUUUAAACCUGAGCUACAUUCUGCAUCAAAAGGGAUUAGUUCUGAAAAUGGUGGUGUAGAACGGUCUAGAAGGUGGGAUGUAAAGCCAGUAACAACAGAUCAUCAUUCCUGUUAAGUCCCAAAUAAGUGAAGAAGAAUGAAUAAGGCUUCAAACUAUACACACACACACACACACACACACACACACACACACACACACACACACACACACACACACACACACACA